GUGUAUGUAGUUCAAUGGUAGAACAUAUAUAUGGUAUGCAUGCGGCCCUGGGUUCAAUCCCCAGCAUAACCA
This 72-nucleotide transfer RNA is filed under the name Fukomys damarensis (Damara mole-rat). It matches the Rfam family "tRNA". From Rfam's summary of the family: Transfer RNA (tRNA) molecules are approximately 80 nucleotides in length. Their secondary structure includes four short double-helical elements and three loops (D, anti-codon, and T loops). The record is from Rfam by way of RNAcentral. Lineage: Eukaryota; Metazoa; Chordata; Mammalia; Rodentia; Bathyergidae.